Ailuropoda melanoleuca (giant panda) is the source of this 2686-nucleotide RNA transcript. RefSeq lists it as uncharacterized. The record is from RefSeq and is a predicted model, not a curated record. The transcript is spliced from 8 exons. NCBI's taxonomy places the organism in Eukaryota, Metazoa, Chordata, Mammalia, Carnivora, Ursidae.
CUCCAGCUUCCCCCCUCCCCCGGGUUUGGGGGGGGACUGACUGGCGUUUCAGGCCUGACUGUGCUCUCCGUUGACCCCUGGCAAGCGACCUCACCGCUCCACGCCUGUUUCCUCAUUUGUCAAAUGGGACAGUAAUGCAGUAUCCCGGAUGGCCCCCGGACGCGGUGCAGACGGUGCCAGCUACAAAGGGCUCAGCCAACAAUACUUGAGCCGCUCAUGUUGAAACUGUCAGGCAUGGGGCGAUCUAGAAUAAUCCCUCCCAUUGCUGUCCCUGCUGAUGGGACACAAACCAAAAGCCCUGACUUGGCCACUCCGCGACACAAAGAAAGACCGUUCCCCACCCACGGGAACCCACCCUCAACGGCGACCCAGGGCCCCAGGGCCCCGCUGGGUCUGGCUCAGGUCCGCAACGCUACAGGACCCUGUUCUUGCCCUGUGUGGGGGUGUGGGGGCGGGAGGACGAGCAGCCCAGCACUGAGAACCUGGUCACCAAUCCCCCCCUGGGGAGCAGGAGCGCAGAAUGAGACACCUCCACCAACGGGAACGGAGGCCCUGCCUGGAACCGGCUGAUCAUCGCUCCCUCCCCACAUACACACAUCCACUCCAACCCCAGAGAAGAUGUGGGGGCCGAGGUUUUCUUUUAAAAAAAUCAAUAAACAACGUUGCAUUUCCGGUUUGCAAACGGGCUGCCGGCGGGGCCCGCGGGGAGGGAGACUGUGGGCGCGGGUGAAGUUUUUGUGCUCCGCCCAGAGGCCCCCCAUCCGGGCGCAAACACUCGGCGAGCGCCCGGUGACUCCUCCUCCCCAGAUGCGGCCAAUCGUGCGGCGCCAGGACGGCUCCCUCCGCCCCAACCGCCCCAGCAACCGGGGUCCCACCGCCCGCGCCGCCCGACCCGGUUGGGGGUCGGCGCCCCCUCCCCGCCCCGCGAGUCCCCCACUCGCGGCGCAUCCCACGGGCGAAAGCGAGGGGAAGCUGCCCCUGCACGCCGCAAGCGCUGCCCGACGUCCGCCCCAAAUCCCUCCCGCUGCUGCCACACCCGCCCCCUUCCCGGGGAUGAGUAACCUGCUCUCCCCAAACAGGCCGCGGCGGCCCGGGCAUUUCUUCGGGGCCUAGAGACCCAGCCCGAAGCCCCCUGCCGGCGGCCAGGAAGACCCUGCCAGAGGGGGUGGACGCGGGCGGCGGCCGCAAGAGGCCGACGUCCGUCCGCGCUCCCGGAGCCCGGGAGAGGACACCCCGCCACACUCCUCUGGGGGAUCCGGAGAAGCUGCCUACCUGCGACCCGCUCCGCUCCGCCAGCUGCUCGCCUCCGACUGCGAGAGCCGAGGAACUGGGGAGGGGGCGCGGUCCGCGGGGCGGGCCGGCUGAGGCCACGCCCCCACGAGCUCCAGCCAGUGGGGCGGCGGGUCCGAGCAAGCGGAAGGCCAGGGGGCGGGGCGCGCGGGGGCAGCCCCGACGGGACCUUUGUGUCCGCGCGCGGGACGCCCGGCUAGCGGGCGAGCGCGGCCCCACGCCCCGCGGGGGAGAUGCCGCCGGUGCUGCACGUAAGGUCGGAAACCCCCCUGAGGAGUGGAGGGCCCGUGCCGGUCCCUCCCCUAACCAGCCGCUGCAGGUCCGGCCCGAAGCUGACCCUCGCUCCAGAAUCCGGAAGGCCCGGGGCGCCUCCAUCUUGACGGAGAGAAAGAGCUCCAGGAACGUCGAGAAGGAGUGAAAAGAGAGGAGAGGAAACUGAGGCACAGAGAAGCGACACCUCCCUGUCCCCACCUCGUCACAGCACUUGCCAGCAAGAGGAGCCCCUAAAAGCCAGCCCAGCCCUGGACCGAUGCUCAGAAGACACCACAGCAAGAAGACAGCUGUCCACAAGCCAAGAGAGUCCUGCACCAGGAACCGAAUUGCUGGCACCUUGGUUUUGGACUUCCCAGCCUCCAGAACUCAGGUCGUCUCUCUCGGCACCUUCGUUUUUCAUCUGUGAAAUGGGCACGACGUCAGCACCUCUGUCAGCAAAGGCCGUCGUGUCGUAGAAGUCAGAGAAUUCAUGGAUGCUUAGGACACAGCCUGCUACACUACAGAGCUCAUGGGAAGAGCGUUUGGGGGCAGGAGCAGCGAGUGCAAAUGCCCAGGGGCAGGAAUAGAAUGGAACGCCGGCCUGCGGGAAGAAUCAGCCACCAAGCCUACAUUAAUUGAGCACCCUCUGCAUGCCGGGCGCUGGGGGAUGCAGCAAGCGUCAAAUCUCAAACAUCAGUACAUACAGGGUGCGGACAGGCUCCAGAGGACAUGCCCCCAGCCCUGCCUUGGAACAGAGAAGAGGUGGUGGUGAGCUGUCACCAGGUGAAGGCAAAAGGGACCAGGCACGUGGGCAGGAAUGCUGCACCGGAGCUUUCAAGACUCGGGGUGUGGGCGCCGCAGUUACCGCUGAGAAACAGUUGUAAUGCACAAAUCUGCUGUGCCCGUGAUGUGCGGGGCUCCUGUUAGGCCAUGCACCCCACCUACGUGCCCAGACAUCCGCCCCCUUCGAAGACGGCACGUUCACGGUUACCACACCUCACAGCGGACAUCCUGAAAGGUGCAGCUGCUUCAGGGGAGGAAGAUGUGCGGCCUGAGAGCACCCACCCAGUCUCGCCCAACUCCUGCUGGAGCCGCCCGACGUCUGGAAUAGCUGUGGCCAGCAGAUGGCGUUGUGGCCGCCCGG